Molecule: long non-coding RNA, 395 nt
Organism: Vicia villosa (hairy vetch)
Lineage: Eukaryota; Viridiplantae; Streptophyta; Magnoliopsida; Fabales; Fabaceae
Exons: 3
Source: RefSeq, a predicted model, not a curated record
GUUUAUGGGUUGUGAUUUUGAUUUCAAGUGAAGAAGAAAUUAGAAAUCUGCUUGUGGGUUUCAAGUGAAGAAGAAGAUGGAGAUCUGCUUGUGGGUUGUGGAUUUGAUUUCAAGCCAAGAAAAAGAUCUACUGAAGUAAAAGGUUGAUUUAAACUGGAUGCGAUCGUGAACUUCGGUUUUUAUCGAUUUCAUUUGUGUUAUUUUCUUAUUAGCUUAAAAGAAUAAAAAUUGAUUUGCAAUUAUUUGAUUUAUGAAAAGGUUCAUACUCAAAGUGUGGGUACGAUAAAGAGAAAGAGGAAUGGGACUAAGCCUUCAAAAUGUAGAAGAAACAUGAAGAAAUAAUACACACUGUCAGAUGCGAGCCAAUGAAGCCAAUGAAGGCAAAAAAUGAAGCA